GCUAAUACCGCAUAAGACCACAGUACCGCAUGGUACAGUGAUCAAAGGAUUUAUUCGCUGAAGGAUGGCUUCGCGUCCGAUUAGGUAGUUGGUGAGGUAACGGCCCACCAAGCCUACGAUCGGUAGCCGGACUGAGAGGUUGAUCGGCCACAUUGGGACUGAGACACGGCCCAGACUCCUACGGGAGGCAGCAUG
Molecule: ribosomal RNA, 195 nt
Filed under: uncultured bacterium
Lineage: Bacteria
Description: partial 16S ribosomal RNA
Rfam family: Bacterial small subunit ribosomal RNA
Source: RNAcentral